Molecule: ribosomal RNA, 301 nt
Filed under: uncultured bacterium
Lineage: Bacteria
Description: partial 16S ribosomal RNA
Rfam family: Bacterial small subunit ribosomal RNA
Source: RNAcentral
CAGCAGCCACGGGAAUACGUAGGGCGCAAGCGUUAUCCGGAAUUAUUGGGCGUAAAGAGCUCGUAGGCGGUUUGUCGCGUCUGCCGUGAAAGUCCGGGGCUCAACCCCGGAUCUGCGGUGGGUACGGGCAGACUAGAGUGAUGUAGGGGAGACUGGAAUUCCUGGUGUAGCGGUGAAAUGCGCAGAUAUCAGGAGGAACACCGAUGGCGAAGGCAGGUCUCUGGGCAUUAACUGACGCUGAGGAGCGAAAGCAUGGGGAGCGAACAGGAUUAGAGACCCCCGUAGUCCCUGUCUCUUAUAC